This 2943-nucleotide long non-coding RNA is filed under the name Gallus gallus (chicken). RNAcentral's name for it is "lncRNA (ENSGALG00010020213.1)". Lineage: Eukaryota; Metazoa; Chordata; Aves; Galliformes; Phasianidae. The record is from RNAcentral.
GGGAGGCACAGCCUUGUUAACCUCAGAAGAAGAAAAUGAAUGAAGUGAAGCUCAUGAAUGACCCGAGAGGAGGAAGGAGCUGCUCUCCCAGAGCACCGGCUGACAGCACGCUGAGAGGUGAUGCUUUGCCAUGUACUGCAAGAACAGGUCUGGUGAAAUUCCCACAUGCAGUCUUUAUUCUGCUCUCUUAAAUGAUCGUCUCCUUUUAAUCACCAGCUAGAGAAUUAACCUGCCGAACAAAGGCACUUUCAGCAUUUUACAUAUUCAGCAGCGUAAUAAAAGACAAACUUAUGCUAAAACAUCAAAAAUUCUGUGAAACCAAAGGAGAGACAAAGAAAUUCUUGGGGUGGGGCGGGGGGGAGGGAAGUGUUGCUGUGAAACGCAGCAAUGCACAAAACUUUGAGUGCCCACCUGCGCCACGUCCCAUCCACACCUCAACCAGAACAGCAAUUUAUCACCACGUCGCUUCGUUGCUUUAUUAGCCAUAAACACAGCAAUGGCCCACGCCUAUAAAAAGCAGGUCGAAAGGGGGUAAUUAAAGCAGAAUAAUUGACCAGCUUCAGGCUGCAGCAGGGAGCGGGGUGUCAAUCUGGUACUUUUAUUAACGCGAGCGCCUCGUGACAAUGAAGGGAACGGUGGAGUUUGGAGGGGGGCUCAGUACAAAACCACUGCGGAGCCGAAUCCAGGAGCCUGAGCUCUUUAAUCUCACCCUGCUUGGUUGCGAAGGUCCCCGGAGAGGUUGGUGUUUGUAGAUUAAUCAGCAGCAUCCAUUCGGUGAGGGCUCCCCUUCUCUGCACGCCUGAGCAAGGUCACCGUGUGGUGCCGGUAACGCACCAAUGCGCCGCAGCAGCCUCAGUUUGCUCAUUAGUAUUCUGCACGUUGCAUGGGUUAAAUUUGCUGUUUCAUUAAGAAGGCUCCUGUUUGCAUUUUCCUUCCGUAUCGUGGGCCUCAUCAGAAGAAACAGGUGCUACUGGUAGAGAUCCAAUAAGCGUUUAUACAUAUUUACAGCAAAUACUGGACACAGCCCUAUGCUUAAAAUCCUGAAUAUUCAAUGAGCAGCUAUUUCUUUGCAUUACAAUAGAAAGAAAGAGGAAAGAAAGGCUAAUUUGGAAUUAAGGGCUGUAAAUAUUUGUGGAAAAUGAGGGGUAAAAAUCACAGUGUGAAUGGAUAGAGGAGAGUGGCACAGAUGCACUCCAAGCCUGGACCUGGAGCAGGCUCCCAGUGUCUGGGUAAAUAUAAAGCCCAAUCACUACCUUCAUUUAUUCCAGUUGCCCAGUAUACCACGGUGCUGAUGACUCAAUGCACCUGACGAUGUCCAGAGUACCCCACAAGCUUGCUUUCCUCCACGGCUUCUACUCCACAAACCCAAGGUGCAGACACAGCUACCACGAUGAUGGAAACAACCCACCCUGAGUCCUGCAGCACAGGGUGCAGCCAAAGAUCUUCCUCUUUUUAUUUUUGUUAAUAAUUACCAAGGUCCUUCCUUCCUACGUCAGUUUCUAGGUCUAAUUCAUCCUGAGCCCAGCCCUGUGCCAUCGUGGCCAUUAGCCAUUUUUGCUUUCAAUUGCCUAUUCCAAACAUUAAUGUGUGCCCGUGUUCUCAUGGAGGCUGUUAAAAGGUACACUCUUGAAGUUCCCAGGCUCUCGUAAUAACACAGAAAAAUGUCACUCUUUACACCAGCUACGCUGGUGCUACAAUUACCCAUUGACUGGCUUGGCUUUAACGUUGGAUCACUACCCGGUAUUUGAAAUAUUCAGUUAAAGGCAGAUAUAAAUAAAUAAAUAAUCUGCUCCCAUCAGGAAACAGAGAGAGAGAGAAAGCCCCAGAGUCUCCAAGCACUCCUCACAAAGAGUCCCUUAAAACCCUUCUAUGAAAAAAAAAAAAAAAAAGGAAGAAAAAAAAAAAAGAGAGAGAAAGAAAAUAAAGGAAACCCAGCUAAUAACACUUUUCCACAUAAAUAAUGUAGAUUGUAACUGGCCUUUGCAGAAGCCUGAGCCCAACAGAGGUCCCUUUGUAAGGCUGAGCGCUGAUUGCGUACUGCUGGGCGCUUUCAUGAUGAUAGCUUUUCAGACGACGGCAUUGCAGCGCACUUAAAAUUAAUAAGCCAGGCUGCCUGCUCCCAGCAGCCCUGCCCAGAGGUGGACAUCACCCCAGCACAUGUCAAGCAGAAGGGCUGUGGUCCUUCCCCAGUGACAUUUCUGGGGCUUGCAGGCUACCUGCACCACUUCAAGCCUGUGCUGAAGUUUGCCCCUACAACAAUAAUAAGGGAUUAGAUGGCACAGCCACCUGCAGUGGGAGGAGAGGGGAUUUGCCACCCCUGCUCCCAUCCUUAAUGAAGCACUGCGAUAAGCCCUAAUGCAUACAUAUCCUUGGGAGAGGAGGUUGCUGUAAAGCCUCUUGCAAGGUCUGUAGUGCCGAGGGCGGCUGUGUCAGCCUGCAGAGUGCUUGGAAAAAACACCCUUCGAAAUAUAACAGUGCUCCCUGUUCUCUCUCCUCAUACAUUAACACUUGCAAAUAGUCCAUAAAUAGACCUUUUUCUUUUCUCAGUGGGAAAAUGUGGAUGCAAAGCAGCACCUCUCGGUCUUGCUGGGCGCCCAAGCCUCUUCCGCUACAUCUUCCAGUCUGGUCAUCCAGUAUUUGGGGGUGCUGGGGGUUCUCUGCAAAGAAAGACACUGAGGCUCUGGAGUGUGUACAAAGAAGGGCAAUGAAGCUGUGAAGAGUCAGGAGCACACGUCUUAUGGGGAGCAGCUGAGGGAACUGGGAUUGUUCCAUUUGGAGAAAAGGAGGCUUAGGGGACACCUUAUUGCUCUCUACAACACCCUGAAAGGAGGUUGUGAUGAGGUGGUGGUUGGCUUCUUCUCCCAGAUAACAGUGAUAGGACGAGAGAGAAUGACCUUAAACUGUGUCAGGGGAGGUUCAGGUUGGAUAUCAGGCAACAUUUCU